UUAAGCGACUAAGCGUACACGGUGGAUGCCCUGGCAGUCAGAGGCGAUGAAGGACGUGCUAAUCUGCGAUAAGCGUCGGUAAGGUGAUAUGAACCGUUAUAACCGGCGAUUUCCGAAUGGGGAAACCCAGUGUGUUUCGACACACUAUCAUUAACUGAAUCCAUAGGUUAAUGAGGCGAACCGGGGGAACUGAAACAUCUAAGUACCCCGAGGAAAAGAAAUCAACCGAGAUUCCCCCAGUAGCGGCGAGCGAACGGGGAGCAGCCCAGAGCCUGAAUCAGUGUGUGUGUUAGUGGAAGCGUCUGGAAAGGCGCGCGAUACAGGGUGACAGCCCCGUACACAAAAAUGCACAUAUUGUGAGCUCGAUGAGUAGGGCGGGACACGUGGUAUCCUGUCUGAAUAUGGGGGGACCAUCCUCCAAGGCUAAAUACUCCUGACUGACCGAUAGUGAACCAGUACCGUGAGGGAAAGGCGAAAAGAACCCCGGCGAGGGGAGUGAAAAAGAACCUGAAACCGUGUACGUACAAGCAGUGGGAGCCUCUUUUAUGGGGUGACUGCGUACCUUUUGUAUAAUGGGUCAGCGACUUAUAUUCUGUAGCAAGGUUAACCGAAUAGGGGAGCCGAAGGGAAACCGAGUCUUAACUGGGCGUUAAGUUGCAGGGUAUAGACCCGAAACCCGGUGAUCUAGCCAUGGGCAGGUUGAAGGUUGGGUAACACUAACUGGAGGACCGAACCGACUAAUGUUGAAAAAUUAGCGGAUGACUUGUGGCUGGGGGUGAAAGGCCAAUCAAACCGGGAGAUAGCUGGUUCUCCCCGAAAGCUAUUUAGGUAGCGCCUCGUGAACUCAUCUCCGGGGGUAGAGCACUGUUUCGGCAAGGGGGUCAUCCCGACUUACCAACCCGAUGCAAACUGCGAAUACCGGAGAAUGUUAUCACGGGAGACACACGGCGGGUGCUAACGUCCGUCGUGAAGAGGGAAACAACCCAGACCGCCAGCUAAGGUCCCAAAGUCAUGGUUAAGUGGGAAACGAUGUGGGAAGGCCCAGACAGCCAGGAUGUUGGCUUAGAAGCAGCCAUCAUUUAAAGAAAGCGUAAUAGCUCACUGGUCGAGUCGGCCUGCGCGGAAGAUGUAACGGGGCUAAACCAUGCACCGAAGCUGCGGCAGCGACACUAUGUGUUGUUGGGUAGGGGAGCGUUCUGUAAGCCUGUGAAGGUGUACUGUGAGGUAUGCUGGAGGUAUCAGAAGUGCGAAUGCUGACAUAAGUAACGAUAAAGCGGGUGAAAAGCCCGCUCGCCGGAAGACCAAGGGUUCCUGUCCAACGUUAAUCGGGGCAGGGUGAGUCGACCCCUAAGGCGAGGCCGAAAGGCGUAGUCGAUGGGAAACAGGUUAAUAUUCCUGUACUUGGUGUUACUGCGAAGGGGGGACGGAGAAGGCUAUGUUGGCCGGGCGACGGUUGUCCCGGUUUAAGCGUGUAGGCUGGUUUUCCAGGCAAAUCCGGAAAAUCAAGGCUGAGGCGUGAUGACGAGGCACUACGGUGCUGAAGCAACAAAUGCCCUGCUUCCAGGAAAAGCCUCUAAGCAUCAGGUAACAUCAAAUCGUACCCCAAACCGACACAGGUGGUCAGGUAGAGAAUACCAAGGCGCUUGAGAGAACUCGGGUGAAGGAACUAGGCAAAAUGGUGCCGUAACUUCGGGAGAAGGCACGCUGAUAUGUAGGUGAAGUCCCUCGCGGAUGGAGCUGAAAUCAGUCGAAGAUACCAGCUGGCUGCAACUGUUUAUUAAAAACACAGCACUGUGCAAACACGAAAGUGGACGUAUACGGUGUGACGCCUGCCCGGUGCCGGAAGGUUAAUUGAUGGGGUCAGCGCAAGCGAAGCUCUUGAUCGAAGCCCCGGUAAACGGCGGCCGUAACUAUAACGGUCCUAAGGUAGCGAAAUUCCUUGUCGGGUAAGUUCCGACCUGCACGAAUGGCGUAAUGAUGGCCAGGCUGUCUCCACCCGAGACUCAGUGAAAUUGAACUCGCUGUGAAGAUGCAGUGUACCCGCGGCAAGACGGAAAGACCCCGUGAACCUUUACUAUAGCUUGACACUGAACAUUGAGCCUUGAUGUGUAGGAUAGGUGGGAGGCUUAGAAGUGUGGACGCCAGUCUGCAUGGAGCCGACCUUGAAAUACCACCCUUUAAUGUUUGAUGUUCUAACGUUGACCCGUGAUCCGGGUUGCGGACAGUGUCUGGUGGGUAGUUUGACUGGGGCGGUCUCCUCCUAAAGAGUAACGGAGGAGCACGAAGGUUGGCUAAUCCUGGUCGGACAUCAGGAGGUUAGUGCAAUGGCAUAAGCCAGCUUGACUGCGAGCGUGACGGCGCGAGCAGGUGCGAAAGCAGGUCAUAGUGAUCCGGUGGUUCUGAAUGGAAGGGCCAUCGCUCAACGGAUAAAAGGUACUCCGGGGAUAACAGGCUGAUACCGCCCAAGAGUUCAUAUCGACGGCGGUGUUUGGCACCUCGAUGUCGGCUCAUCACAUCCUGGGGCUGAAGUAGGUCCCAAGGGUAUGGCUGUUCGCCAUUUAAAGUGGUACGCGAGCUGGGUUUAGAACGUCGUGAGACAGUUCGGUCCCUAUCUGCCGUGGGCGCUGGAGAACUGAGGGGGCUGCUCCUAGUACGAGAGGACCGGAGUGGACGCAUCACUGGUGUUCGGGUUGUCAUGCCAAUGGCACUGCCCGGUAGCUAAAUGCGGAAGAGAUAAGUGCUGAAAGCAUCUAAGCACGAAACUUGCCCCGAGAUGAGUUCUCCCUGACCCUUUAAGGGUCCUGAAGAACGUUGAAGACGACGACGUUGAUAGGCCGGGUGUGUAAGCGCAGCGAUGCGUUGAGCUAACCGGUACUAAUGAACCGUGAGGCUUAACCUU
RNAcentral lists this ribosomal RNA (2899 nucleotides) under Escherichia coli. RNAcentral describes it as "bacterial LSU rRNA". It matches the Rfam family "Bacterial large subunit ribosomal RNA". Lineage: Bacteria; Pseudomonadati; Pseudomonadota; Gammaproteobacteria; Enterobacterales; Enterobacteriaceae. The record is from RNAcentral.